CCGAAGCGUCCCUUGCGGCUAUUCCUCACGAUUCAAGCAUUUCAUACAUGUUGCGUCACAUACCUGUACUGCCUAGCAGCGGAAAGAAUUUCGAAUAGACCAUACUGCAGUAAAUCAGCAGUAAUGUGACAAAUUUAUUGCCUAGAAAGCAGUGGCACCUGCUGGCACAAAUGCAGAGUUCAAGGGCAAGGAUCUCCACCUCCGCAGCCCGUCGGCGGUCGUACAGACAAAUGUCGGUCGUGCACGUACAAAUUCAAAGCGACGGAACUGGUGCACAUCACAAUACAGGACGUCUAACAUCACCCAGCCACCCUUGAUGUCCGUAUUCGGUGUACGCUUUCAACAUCUGAAACGAAACGUUGUGUCGCAACCUUCGAGCCAGCAAGCAAGGCGGGACUUGGGGGGUCUGGGCGUGUCACAUAUAUCUUGAUUGCCCACAUAAGGGUUAAAGUAGUACAGAAAACAUCCUUCCAGGACAACAUGAAACAUGAAAACAGGACAACAUGAAAAAACAUCCUUCCAGAAAAUUCCUGGGCGUCACCCCAGGGCAGGUGACGCCCAUCUUGGUCAACUGGACAGGAGGGCCCAAUAGAACAAUAUCGGCGGAACUCGCCGGGAGAUACAGGAAGGUAACAAUCGAACGACACGGCAC
This is a long non-coding RNA of Ornithodoros turicata, 652 nucleotides long. RefSeq lists it as uncharacterized. The transcript has 4 exons. The record is from RefSeq and is a predicted model, not a curated record. NCBI's taxonomy places the organism in Eukaryota, Metazoa, Arthropoda, Arachnida, Ixodida, Argasidae.